AUCUUCAUGAGGUGUAAUGGCGCCGGGAUGCGCUCUCCUCUUCUCAUUUGCCAAUUUAUUGCAGAUCCCUCCUCAAAAAAGUUUUGGGACUAACUCAGCCCCAUGGAGAUCAAGGUGAAUUAGAAAAACAACAAAACAAAACAAGAUUCAUUUUAACAUCUCAUUUUUCUAUCUCCAACUUUCCCUCCCCUCCUCCCACCCCAGGAAGAAAAGACUACGUUUGUUUCUGGUGAUACAUUCAUUGUAGGUGGGUGGGUGACUUCUAGAAGAGGAAAAUCAAGAAGAUUUGGAGAAGGAGUCUUGGAAGCUCUGGUGAAGUUUUCCAAAACUGGGAAGGACAGAGCCACAGGUCUGCCUGUUCUUUUGCUUUGCCAUUUGUGUGGAUACCUAGUAGAGCAAUUUGGGUGCCAUUCUUUGAGGAAUCCAUUGGAUCUGUCAGAAAGCUGAGUCUGCUCAGCCUGUGUUAGUGGAGAAGAGGGAAGGAAACUGGCUGGAGGCCGCUGGACCCACAGAGGACAAUAGACAAUCUCCUGCUAGAAAUGACAAACCAGUAUCUUGAGUAAAAUAAUGACUUGGACUGUAAGAAAUUAAUUAGAAAACAUCUGUGCAAUGUAGUGGAAGAAAAAGAAAAUGAGACCCAGAAGACCCAAAUCACAAAUCAAAAGGACCUCACAGAAGAUUCUACAAUUGAGAUUAUUUAUCCUGGGAUGCCCACUGGAUCCAAAGAGAGAAACUCUAUAGAAUUAUGAUCUAGGUUUGACUGACUCCUGGCAAGAAGCCCUACCCGCCAGCCAAUUUGGAUGAGGAACACAGAAUCACUUGUGGAAUUAAGAGAUAAGGACAGCAAGUAGACCAAACUAUAAGCUGAGGUUCAAGGUGGCAUAGGCUGGGUGCCACAGUGCUGUGUCUCAGGUGGGCUAGAAGUGCGAAACGGACAGUACCAGAAGGAAAACUUGAGGCUCUUAUGCUCCAGAUCCAUCAUGAGAAGAACAUGCCCUGGAUUCCUGCUAUCCCUUUAGCCAUGGCUCCAAAAUUAACACACACAAGGAAGACCUGAGGUCAAUCCACAGCCUGGAUUCAAGUCACCUAAUACAUAGGAGAAUCAGAGCUACCCAGCCACACUCAAUCUACGUUAACUGAACCUCAGCUGACCUGCAGAUUUAUGAGUAUGAGAAUAAAGGCUUGUUAAUGUA
Molecule: long non-coding RNA, 1193 nt
Organism: Homo sapiens (human)
Lineage: Eukaryota; Metazoa; Chordata; Mammalia; Primates; Hominidae
Product: long intergenic non-protein coding RNA 1980
Source: Ensembl